AUGUACGCCGCCGGCGGGACGGAGGGGCGCCUGUGUACGGCGAGGCAGCAGUGGAUCCUCCAGCGGCUCAAAUUCCUCGACCCGCACAUAAAGAGGAGGUCGUCCUACUGCGCCGAUCUGGACUAUGAGGUGACGGUGGUUGAGAACAGCUGUGAUGAGUUGAGUCCGGCGCAGGUCGACGUCGAGCUCGAGGCGGACAGUCUGAGCGGCGCGCAGCACCAUCAGGCUACGCACUCUGACGGAGAGCUCAGUCUGGACACGUUUAAACCCCAGCUGGCCAAAAGGUCAUUUCAGGACGACGAAAGGGUCAGUUCAGACUCGCCUCCGUCGCGGGGCAGCAAGCGGCACUGCGCCAGCGGCGAGAAGAUGAACAUUCUGAACGUUCCACCAGCGCACGCCGCCAGAGAGUUCGAGGACGACGAAGAGUUGGAAUCGGCGAGUUUGCGGAGAGUGGCCUGCAGCACGGUGGAGGACAGAAAGAGGGAAGACUGCUGGGACGUCUUCGGCAGGUACGUGGUGUCCUGCCUGAAAAGCCUGGAGUCGUCGCGGAGCCGAAUCAAAGCCCAGAACGAACUGUGUGCCAUCUUACAGAAACACAUACAGGGCGACGAAGAGCAGGAGACGGCAGACCCGCAGGAACAGCGGGCAGCGCCCGCAGCCUGCGCAGGCGGCGGCGCCGUCAAAGCCAGCACGCGCCCGCGCCCCCGCUGCGAGCCCCCGGCUGACCAGGACGACCUGGAGCCCUUCCUGAAGUCCAUGUCCAUCAUCAUGAAGCGGCUGCCGGAGAGCGUCCGAGCGGAGGUGAAGUUCAGAAUCCACGAGCUGGUGCACAGAGCGGAGAUGAAGCACCUUUACGAACAGACAAACGCGCAGAACACGACGACGCCCAGCCAGGAGUCCAGCUGGGAGAACGGACUCAACUACAAUCUCAUUUAACUCCUCUCCUAUUUGGCUAGACCGCUUUUUGUACAGAUUUUUAAAAAUAAAUUAUAUAUAUUUAGUAGAACGCUGUGUGUCGUGAUGUCAGCUGUCAGGGUAGAUACUGGAACAUGAAGCUGAGCGCCGGAGAUUAAUGCAGAAAUAUGUAAGAUUGGCUCAGAGCUGCUUUAUGAUGAACUGAACGUUUGCAAGGUUUUUUCUACACAAACUGCAUUCGCGCUUUAUCAGAAACACCUGUCUACUGCUUCCACUCACUGGCCACUUUAUUAGAAACACCUGUCUACUGCUUCCACUCACUGGCCACUUUAUUAGAAACACCUGUCUACUGCUUCC
This is a long non-coding RNA of Pygocentrus nattereri (red-bellied piranha), 1272 nucleotides long. NCBI's taxonomy places the organism in Eukaryota, Metazoa, Chordata, Actinopteri, Characiformes, Serrasalmidae. The record is from Ensembl.